AACGAACGCUGGCGGCGUGGAUAAGACAUGCAAGUCGAACGGGAACUUCAGCUGUAGCAAUACAGUUGAAGUUUUAGUGGCGAACGGGUGCGUAACACGUGGGCAAUCUGCCGAGAAGUGGGGGAUAGCUCGCCGAAAGGCGAAUUAAUACCGCAUAUGAUCAGCUAAGACAUCUUAGCGACAUCAAAGCCGGGGCAACCUGGCGCUUUUUGAGGAGCCCGCGGCCUAUCAGCUAGUUGGUGAGUAACGGCUCACCAAGGCUAUGACGGGUAGCUGGUCUGAGAGGACGACCAGUCACACUGGAACUGAGACACGGU
RNAcentral lists this ribosomal RNA (317 nucleotides) under uncultured bacterium. RNAcentral's name for it is "bacterial SSU rRNA". It matches the Rfam family "Bacterial small subunit ribosomal RNA", at positions 29 to 330 of the family's 1533-position model. The record is from RNAcentral.